ACUCCUACGGGAGGCAGCAGUAGGGAAUCUUCCGCAAUGGACGAAAGUCUGACGGAGCAACGCCGCGUGAGUGAUGAAGGCUUUCGGGUCGUAAAACUCUGUUGUUAGGGAAGAACAAGUGCUAGUUGAAUAAGCUGGCACCUUGACGGUACCUAACCAGAAAGCCACGGCUAACUACGUGCCAGCAGCCGCGGUAAUACGUAGGUGGCAAGCGUUAUCCGGAAUUAUUGGGCGUAAAGCGCGCGCAGGUGGUUUCUUAAGUCUGAUGUGAAAGCCCACGGCUCAACCGUGGAGGGUCAUUGGAAACUGGGAGACUUGAGUGCAGAAGAGGAAAGUGGAAUUCCAUGUGUAGCGGUGAAAUGCGUAGAGAUAUGGAGGAACACCAGUGGCGAAGGCGACUUUCUGGUCUGUAACUGACACUGAGGCGCGAAAGCGUGGGGAGCAAACAGGAUUAGAUACCCUGGUAGUCAA
This 471-nucleotide ribosomal RNA is filed under the name uncultured Bacillus sp. RNAcentral describes it as "bacterial SSU rRNA". It matches the Rfam family "Bacterial small subunit ribosomal RNA", at positions 335 to 797 of the family's 1533-position model. The record is from RNAcentral. Lineage: Bacteria; Bacillati; Bacillota; Bacilli; Caryophanales; Bacillaceae.